Molecule: ribosomal RNA, 521 nt
Filed under: fungal endophyte
Lineage: Eukaryota; Fungi
Description: eukaryotic LSU rRNA
Rfam family: 5.8S ribosomal RNA (bases 181-334)
Source: RNAcentral
CUCCGUAGGGUGAACCUGCGGAGGGAUCAUUACCGAGUUUACAACUCCCAAACCCCUGUGAACAUACCACUUGUUGCCUCGGCGGAUCAGCCCGCUCCCGGUAAAACGGGACGGCCCGCCAGAGGACCCCUAAACUCUGUUUCUAUAUGUAACUUCUGAGUAAAACCAUAAAUAAAUCAAAACUUUCAACAACGGAUCUCUUGGUUCUGGCAUCGAUGAAGAACGCAGCAAAAUGCGAUAAGUAAUGUGAAUUGCAGAAUUCAGUGAAUCAUCGAAUCUUUGAACGCACAUUGCGCCCGCCAGUAUUCUGGCGGGCAUGCCUGUUCGAGCGUCAUUUCAACCCUCAAGCACAGCUUGGUGUUGGGACUCGCGUUAAUUCGCGUUCCUCAAAUUGAUUGGCGGUCACGUCGAGCUUCCAUAGCGUAGUAGUAAAACCCUCGUUACUGGUAAUCGUCGCGGCCACGCCGUUAAACCCCAACUUCUGAAUGUGACCUCGGAUCAGUUAGGAUUACAAUUUCCUC